This 465-nucleotide ribosomal RNA is filed under the name uncultured bacterium. RNAcentral describes it as "partial 16S ribosomal RNA". It matches the Rfam family "Bacterial small subunit ribosomal RNA", at positions 28 to 507 of the family's 1533-position model. The record is from RNAcentral.
GAUGAACGCUGGCGGCGUGCUUAACACAUGCAAGUCGAACGGAAAGGCUCCUGCUUGCAGGGGUACUCGAGUGGCGAACGGGUGAGUAACACGUGGGUGAUCUGCCCUGCACUUCGGGAUAAGCCUGGGAAACUGGGUCUAAUACCGGAUAGGACGUUGGUUUGGAUGCCAUUGUGGAAAGUUUUUCGGUGUGGGAUGGGCUCGAGGCCUAUCAGCUUGUUGGUGGGGUAAUGGCCUACCAAGGCGUCGACGGGUAGCCGGCCUGAGAGGGUGGACGGCCACAUUGGGACUGAGAUAGGGCCCAGACUCCUACGGGAGGCAGCAGUGGGGAAUAUUGCACAAUGGGGGCAAGCCUGAUGCAGCGACGCCGGGUGGGGGAUGACGGCCUUCGGGUUGUAAACUCCUUUCGCUAGGGACGAAGCGCAAGUGACGGUACCUGGAGAAGAAGCACCGGCUAACUACGUG